RNAcentral lists this ribosomal RNA (253 nucleotides) under uncultured bacterium. Its description in RNAcentral is "partial 16S ribosomal RNA". It matches the Rfam family "Bacterial small subunit ribosomal RNA", at positions 524 to 776 of the family's 1533-position model. The record is from RNAcentral.
UACAGAGGGGGCAAGCGUUGUUCGGAAUUACUGGGCGUAAAGGGUUCGUAGGUGGCCUACUAAGUCAUACGUGAAAUCCCUCAGCUUAACUGGGGAACUGCGUCUGAGACUGGAAGGCUUGAGUGCAGGAGAGGAACGCGGAAUUCCAGGUGUAGCGGUGAAAUGCGUAGAUAUCUGGAGGAACACCGGUGGCGAAGGCGGCGUUCUGGACUGCAACUGACACUGAGGAACGAAAGCCAGGGGAGCAAACGGG